This 140-nucleotide small nucleolar RNA is filed under the name Trifolium pratense (red clover). Its description in RNAcentral is "snoRNA snoR134". It matches the Rfam family "small nucleolar RNA snoR134". The record is from Rfam by way of RNAcentral. Lineage: Eukaryota; Viridiplantae; Streptophyta; Magnoliopsida; Fabales; Fabaceae.
AUGCAUGUUGCAACCCCGGGCUUCUCUGAAUUAUAUAUGACGUGAAAGCCCCAUUGCACAUGCAAAAUUGAUGCCAUUCGUGUUGCAGUUCAUUCUCAGUAACUCCACGUUUGAUCUGUGUCAAAGUAAUGGCAACAUUG